This is a long non-coding RNA of Alligator mississippiensis (American alligator), 969 nucleotides long. RefSeq lists it as uncharacterized. NCBI's taxonomy places the organism in Eukaryota, Metazoa, Chordata, Crocodylia, Alligatoridae. The transcript is spliced from 3 exons. The record is from RefSeq and is a predicted model, not a curated record.
CCGGGCCCGAGCCCGAGCCCUUGACCCCCCGCGACCUGAUGCUGCGCGCAGCCUGGCGGGGGUUUCUAGUUCUCGUUCUUCACGUGCACGGACACUUGACACACGUACUUCUGGAGCGAGAUGCAGCACCUGAGGUAAAGGGAAAAGGGAGAACGAGGAAGUGAAAGAUGCCAUAAGCAAUAACUACAUUUCAAAGUAGGGAGACAAACUAGCACAUGGUUCAACAACAUCUUGAGAGAACAUCUGGCACUGGGUGCAGCUCAACAUGAAGCAACUUUGAUCCAGAGGGUAGAAGUAAAGCGAGGAAGAAGAAAGAAGCAUGCUGUAAACUUAGACUCCGACUCAGACAACAUAUGGAUCUGUGGAACUUAUAACAACGCUCUCGAAUUGGGCUUGCCAGCCACAGAUAUUCAUUAGGCAUCUGACCUGUACACCUUACAUGUACUUUUACAUGUACACCAUGAUCCAGAGGAUUUACGGUUGCCUACUUAAACGUUCAACAACAACAACAGCAACAACAACAACAAGUCUAUUGAUAAUUGCACCAGAUCUUGGCAUUUAACCAGGCCCAGAUGUGGGCUGCUCUGUAUGCUAAUAAAAUGCACUGCAACCCAUGCAGCCUGAGGCUAAGUUUCUGCUACCAACAUCAAAGUGUGCUUCUUGGCCACUUAAGCUUUUGAGGCAACCUCUAUCUUGUCCUUGCCUUGCUGACAUGCACUCAAAUCACUCUCUUCCAGGAAAACUUUUUCAAACCAAUUUCACCUCACCUAGAUAUAGGUCUUUAUAUGAUCCCUCUUUUUCCAAACAAAUUUCAGAUCUUUCCUUCCAGUCAGAUAAAAGGGUCAUCAUCUGCUAGUGUUCUCACUUAAGAAGCUUUUUUAAAAAAUUGAGGGAUACUCAUUCCAUUAGUGAAAUAUGGGGGAGGGUUUUUUGGGGGGAGGGAGGGUGUUAAAUUUGUCAGGACUUUAU